This 325-nucleotide long non-coding RNA is filed under the name Linum usitatissimum (flax). Its description in RNAcentral is "long non-coding RNA (LUSI_LNC003938)". The record is from RNAcentral. Lineage: Eukaryota; Viridiplantae; Streptophyta; Magnoliopsida; Malpighiales; Linaceae.
UAAUAAAUAAAUCUCAUCCUUAUAAAAUAUUUGAUAAUAGCAUUGGUAUGGUGCCGCUAACAUCUUCUUCAUCAUUAUUGCCCCUGGAUUCUACUUAAUGAUCAUCGUUGCUGCACUAUCGCCACAUUUGAUUGGUCGGAAAAGCUUUAUUCUUCACCAUCUCUUUCACAACCAAACCUAGAUCCAAAUCAAAACAAAGUAACGCGGAAACUCAGAUCGGAACCCAAAUCAAAACCAGAUACAAAACCCAUAUAAAAAGAACAAACCCCCUCCGACUGCACCUAGUGGUGGUCAUCGUCCGGAACGGCGAUGAGAACGGCGAGGG